ACCUGGGUGGUUCAGUCAGUUAAGCACCUGACUUCGACUCAGGUUAUGAUCUCAUAAUUCGUGAGUUCAAGCCCCACCUCAGGCU
Transfer RNA from Felis catus (domestic cat), 85 nucleotides. It matches the Rfam family "tRNA". Rfam says of the family: Transfer RNA (tRNA) molecules are approximately 80 nucleotides in length. Their secondary structure includes four short double-helical elements and three loops (D, anti-codon, and T loops). Further hydrogen bonds mediate the characteristic L-shaped molecular structure. tRNAs have two regions of fundamental functional importance: the anti-codon, which is responsible for specific mRNA codon recognition, and the 3' end, to which the tRNAs corresponding amino acid is attached (by aminoacyl-tRNA synthetases). tRNAs cope with the degeneracy of the genetic code in two manners: having more than one tRNA (with a specific anti-codon) for a particular amino acid; and 'wobble' base-pairing, i.e. permitting non-standard base-pairing at the 3rd anti-codon position. Lineage: Eukaryota; Metazoa; Chordata; Mammalia; Carnivora; Felidae. The record is from Rfam.